RNAcentral lists this ribosomal RNA (418 nucleotides) under uncultured bacterium. RNAcentral's name for it is "bacterial SSU rRNA". It matches the Rfam family "Bacterial small subunit ribosomal RNA", at positions 91 to 518 of the family's 1533-position model. The record is from RNAcentral.
UUCAGCGGCGGACGGGUGAGUAACGCGUGAAGCAACCUGCCUUCAACAGGGGGAUAACGCAUCGAAAGACUGUGCUAAUACCGCAUGAGACCACAACAUCACAGUGGUGAAGGGGUCAAAGGAGAAAUCCGGUUGAAGAUGGGCUCGCGUCCGAUUAGCUGGUUGGUGAGACAACAGCCCACCAAGGCGACGAUCGGUAGCCGACCUGAGAGGGUGAUCGGCCACAUUGGAACUGAGAUACGGUCCAGACUCCUACGGGAGGCAGCAGUGGGGAAUAUUGGGCAAUGGGACGAAAGCCUGACCCAGCAACGCCGCGUGAGGGAAGAAGGGUUUUGGCUCGUAAACCUCUGUCCUGUGGGACGAAGGAAGUGACGGUACCACAGGAGGAAGCCCCGGCUAACUACGUGCCAGCCGCCGC